UUAAGUUCAGCGGGUAGUCCUACCUGAUUUGAGAUCAAACAUUCAAAGGGCUGUCUGUCCUCACCGAGGAGAGACGUCUAUGAGCUCCAGUGAACCUCCACUGCUGAAGGUUACCUGGUGGAAAAACCACAAGCGUAGAUAGUUAUCACACCCAUGAUACCCACCAAACACCGGUAAGCUGAUUUAUUUAGAGGAGCCGA
RNAcentral lists this unclassified non-coding RNA (200 nucleotides) under Thelephoraceae sp. RNAcentral describes it as "partial internal transcribed spacer 2". The record is from RNAcentral. Lineage: Eukaryota; Fungi; Basidiomycota; Agaricomycetes; Thelephorales; Thelephoraceae.